This 468-nucleotide ribosomal RNA is filed under the name uncultured bacterium. RNAcentral describes it as "partial 16S ribosomal RNA". It matches the Rfam family "Bacterial small subunit ribosomal RNA", at positions 28 to 507 of the family's 1533-position model. The record is from RNAcentral.
GACGAACGCUGGCGGCGUGCUUAACACAUGCAAGUCGAACGGAAAGGCCCUGCUUUUGUGGGGUGCUCGAGUGGCGAACGGGUGAGUAACACGUGAGUAACCUGCCCUUGACUUUGGGAUAACUUCAGGAAACUGGGGCUAAUACCGGAUAGGAGCUCCUGCUGCAUGGUGGGGGUUGGAAAGUUUCGGCGGUUGGGGAUGGACUCGCGGCUUAUCAGCUUGUUGGUGGGGUAGUGGCUUACCAAGGCUUUGACGGGUAGCCGGCCUGGGAGGGUGACCGGCCACAUUGGGAUUGAGAUGCGGCCCAGACCCGUACGGGAGGCAGCAGUGGGGAAUAUUGCACAAUGGGCGGAAGCCUGAUGCAGCAACGCCGCGUGCGGGAUGACGGCAUUCGGGUUGUAAACCGCUUUCGCCUGUGACGAAGCGUGAGUGACGGUACUGGGUAAAGAAGCACCGGCUAACUCCGUG